This 76-nucleotide ribosomal RNA is filed under the name Mycolicibacterium insubricum. The record is from RNAcentral. Lineage: Bacteria; Bacillati; Actinomycetota; Actinomycetes; Mycobacteriales; Mycobacteriaceae.
GGCGGCCACAGCGGCAGGGAAACGCCCGGACCCAUCCCGAACCCGGAAGCUAAGCCUACCAGCGCCGAUGAUACUG